Molecule: long non-coding RNA, 1098 nt
Filed under: Homo sapiens (human)
Lineage: Eukaryota; Metazoa; Chordata; Mammalia; Primates; Hominidae
Description: HSALNT0331215
Source: RNAcentral
AGCAGCAGAAACCACCCUGUGACGAGAGCUGGCCUGGACACAGAGGAAAGCUGAGCCAAGACAGGGAGAGAGAAUGAGGUUUACUCUCCUCAUUCGAGCUGCGUGAUCCAACUGUAGGGGAAAGCAGCAUCCCUAGAGCUUCUCAUUACACACACCAAACACAUUCCCCCUUUUGCUGAAGUCACUUUAAGUUGGAUUUUGCUCACUUGCAACUGAGUGUGUUGACCAGCUCAAGAAUACAAGUAGGGAAACCAGAGAGUCAAUUACUCCACCUCCGCCUGGUCCAGGAGGAGCAACUGUGGCAAGUCCAGCAGGGUCACCCUCUCUAGCUGCUGGGAGCUGAGAUUUCCACUCCAGCUUCUUUGGCUGCCUUGGGGAAAUCAACGGAGUUUCCAGGAGUGUGAUGGGAAUGGUCAAGCUAUCUCCCGCCCAGCAAUAAAACCAGAUGUGGAAGCAGAUGGUGGUGACCAGGAGAGCAUUCAAGCUACAGGCAGAGACUCUCGUCCCACUCUCAACCCUUGUCUUAGAAUUACUGGACCAGAGGAAAACAGUCCCUUUAACUGAAAGCAGUGGAAGAACAGGCCAGGCCAGUGAGGUGGAAAAAGUUUCACGGUCGGUUGGACACACCUGCUGGAAUCCUGAUCCUUCACUUCCCAGCUGAGUGGAUGAUGUAAAACCACGGAUCCUCUUUGAUGCUCAAUUUCUUCCUCUGUGCAACGGGAAUGUCAAUCUCAGCCUUCCGAGUUGUUGUGUGAGAACAAGGUGGUAGACACUUUCUAGUGGGUCUGGUGCGUAGUAGGAGCACAAUGAAGGUGCUGGCUCUCAUGGCUUCUCUUUCUCCUGCCCUCCUCUUGACUUUCAGGUCCCCUGCUUGGCCUGUUUCACUGCCAAGUUCUAGGUCAUUUGAAACUGCAGAGGCCAGACCUUGGCCUUUAGGUCUCACUGAUCCUGUGGCCUUGGGCAAGUCCAUUUGCCUUUCUGGGCCUUGGUUUCCUCCUUUGGGAAAUGAGAGAGACUUGGGCAGGGUCCCUGGUCCCCAGCCUGGGGCUCUUCUAUCUCUGGGGUUAGAAGAAGGGAGGGCACUUUCUGGCAGCAAGG